UGGGGAAUCUUGCACAAUGGGGGCAACCCUGAUGCAGCGACGCCGCGUGAGCGAUGAAGCCCUUCGGGGCGUAAAGCUCUUUCGACCGGAACGAUAAUGACGGUACCGGGAGAAGAAGCUGCGGCUAACUACGUGCCAGCAGCCGCGGUAAUACGUAGGCAGCAGGCGUUGUUCGGAGUUACUGGGCGUAAAGAGUGCGUAGGCGGUUUUCUAAGUUCGGUGUGAAAUCUCCCGGCUUAACUGGGAGGGUGCGCCGAAGACUGGGAAGCUGGAGUGUGGGAAAGGCAGGCGGAAUUCCUGGUGUAGCGGUGAAAUGCGUAGAUAUCAGGAGGAACACCGGCGGUGUAGACGGCUUGCUAGACCAUAACUGACGCUGAGGCACAAAAGCGUGGGUAGCAAACA
This 402-nucleotide ribosomal RNA is filed under the name uncultured bacterium. RNAcentral's name for it is "bacterial SSU rRNA". It matches the Rfam family "Bacterial small subunit ribosomal RNA", at positions 355 to 774 of the family's 1533-position model. The record is from RNAcentral.